AGUGAACGCUGGCGGUAGGCCUAACACAUGCAAGUCGAACGGCAGCACAGUAAGAGCUUGCUCUUACGGGUGGCGAGUGGCGGACGGGUGAGGAAUACAUCGGAAUCUACUUUUUCGUGGGGGAUAACGUAGGGAAACUUACGCUAAUACCGCAUACGACCUACGGGUGAAAGCAGUGGAUCUUCGGACCUUGCGCGAUUGAUUGAGCCGAUGUCGGAUUAGCUAGUUGGCGGGGUAAAGGCCCACCAAGGCGACGAUCCGUAGCUGGUCUGAGAGGAUGAUCAGCCACACUGGAACUGAGACACGGUCCAGACUCCUACGGGAGGCAGCAGUGGGGAAUAUUGGACAAAGGGCGCAAGCCUGAUCCAGCCAUACCGCGUGGGUGAAGAAGGACUUCGGGGUGUAAAGCCCUUUUGUUGGGAAAGAAAAGCAGCAGGUUAAUACCCCGCUGUUCUGACGGUACCCAAAGAAUAAGCACCGGCUAACUUCGUG
This 492-nucleotide ribosomal RNA is filed under the name uncultured bacterium. RNAcentral's name for it is "partial 16S ribosomal RNA". It matches the Rfam family "Bacterial small subunit ribosomal RNA", at positions 29 to 507 of the family's 1533-position model. The record is from RNAcentral.